RNAcentral lists this non-coding RNA (32 nucleotides) under Mus musculus (house mouse). Lineage: Eukaryota; Metazoa; Chordata; Mammalia; Rodentia; Muridae. The record is from RNAcentral.
UAAGCUUGAAUGUUGGUGUCCAUGGACCUAGC